GAUGAACGCUGGCGGCGUGCCUAAUACAUGCCAGUCGAGCGAACAGACGAGGAGCUUGCUCCUUCGACGUUAGCGGCGGACGGGUGAGUAACACGUAGGUAACCUACCUAUAAGACUGGGAUAACUUCGGGAAACCGGAGCUAAUACCGGAUAAUAUUUCGAACCGCAUGGUUCGAUAGUGAAAGAUGGCUUUGCUAUCACUUAUAGAUGGACCUGCGCCGUAUUAGCUAGUUGGUAAGGUAACGGCUUACCAAGGCAACGAUACGUAGCCGACCUGAGAGGGUGAUCGGCCACACUGGAACUGAGACACGGUCCAGACUCCUAUGGGAGGCAGCAGUAGGGAAUCUUCCGCAAUGGGCGAAAGCCUGACGGAGCAACGCCGCGUGAGUGAUGAAGGUCUUCGGAUCGUAAAACUCUGUUAUUAGGGAAGAACAAACGUGUAAGUAACUGUGCACGUCUUGACGGUACCUAAUCAGAAAGCCACGGCUAACUACGUG
This 497-nucleotide ribosomal RNA is filed under the name uncultured bacterium. RNAcentral's name for it is "partial 16S ribosomal RNA". It matches the Rfam family "Bacterial small subunit ribosomal RNA", at positions 28 to 507 of the family's 1533-position model. The record is from RNAcentral.